This 2114-nucleotide ribosomal RNA is filed under the name Salmonella enterica. RNAcentral describes it as "partial 23S ribosomal RNA". It matches the Rfam family "Bacterial large subunit ribosomal RNA", at positions 711 to 2805 of the family's 2925-position model. Lineage: Bacteria; Pseudomonadati; Pseudomonadota; Gammaproteobacteria; Enterobacterales; Enterobacteriaceae. The record is from RNAcentral.
AGACCCGAAACCCGGUGAUCUAGCCAUGGGCAGGUUGAAGGUUGGGUAACACUAACUGGAGGACCGAACCGACUAAUGUUGAAAAAUUAGCGGAUGACCUGUGGCUGGGGGUGAAAGGCCAAUCAAACCGGGAGAUAGCUGGUUCUCCCCGAAAGCUAUUUAGGUAGCGCCUCGUGAAUUCAUCUCCGGGGGUAGAGCACUGUUUCGGCUAGGGGGCCAUCCCGGCUUACCAACCCGAUGCAAACUGCGAAUACCGGAGAAUGUUAUCACGGGAGACACACGGCGGGUGCUAACGUCCGUCGUGAAGAGGGAAACAACCCAGACCGCCAGCUAAGGUCCCAAAGUCAUGGUUAAGUGGGAAACGAUGUGGGAAGGCCCAGACAGCCAGGAUGUUGGCUUAGAAGCAGCCAUCAUUUAAAGAAAGCGUAAUAGCUCACUGGUCGAGUCGGCCUGCGCGGAAGAUGUAACGGGGCUAAACCAUGCACCGAAGCUGCGGCAGCGACGCUGAUGCGUUGUUGGGUAGGGGAGCGUUCUGUAAGCCUGCGAAGGUGUGUCGUGAGGCAUGCUGGAGGUAUCAGAAGUGCGAAUGCUGACAUAAGUAACGAUAAAGCGGGUGAAAAGCCCGCUCGCCGGAAGACCAAGGGUUCCUGUCCAACGUUAAUCGGGGCAGGGUGAGUCGACCCCUAAGGCGAGGCCGAAAGGCGUAGUCGAUGGGAAACGGGUUAAUAUUCCCGUACUUGGUGUUACUGCGAAGGGGGGACGGAGAAGGCUAUGUUGGCCGGGCGACGGUUGUCCCGGUUUAAGCGUGUAGGUGUGUGUUCCAGGUAAAUCCGGUUCACUUUAACACUGAGGCGUGACGACGAGGCACUACGGUGCUGAAGCAACAAAUGCCCUGCUUCCAGGAAAAGCCUCUAAGCAUCAGGUAACAUCAAAUCGUACCCCAAACCGACACAGGUGGUCAGGUAGAGAAUACCAAGGCGCUUGAGAGAACUCGGGUGAAGGAACUAGGCAAAAUGGUGCCGUAACUUCGGGAGAAGGCACGCUGACACGUAGGUGAAGUGAUUUACUCAUGGAGCUGAAGUCAGUCGAAGAUACCAGCUGGCUGCAACUGUUUAUUAAAAACACAGCACUGUGCAAACACGAAAGUGGACGUAUACGGUGUGACGCCUGCCCGGUGCCGGAAGGUUAAUUGAUGGGGUCAGCGCAAGCGAAGCUCCUGAUCGAAGCCCCGGUAAACGGCGGCCGUAACUAUAACGGUCCUAAGGUAGCGAAAUUCCUUGUCGGGUAAGUUCCGACCUGCACGAAUGGCGUAAUGAUGGCCAGGCUGUCUCCACCCGAGACUCAGUGAAAUUGAACUCGCUGUGAAGAUGCAGUGUACCCGCGGCAAGACGGAAAGACCCCGUGAACCUUUACUAUAGCUUGACACUGAACAUUGAGCCUUGAUGUGUAGGAUAGGUGGGAGGCUUUGAAGUGUGGACGCCAGUCUGCAUGGAGCCGACCUUGAAAUACCACCCUUUAAUGUUUGAUGUUCUAACGUGGACCCGUAAUCCGGGUUGCGGACAGUGUCUGGUGGGUAGUUUGACUGGGGCGGUCUCCUCCUAAAGAGUAACGGAGGAGCACGAAGGUUGGCUAAUCCUGGUCGGACAUCAGGAGGUUAGUGCAAUGGCAUAAGCCAGCUUGACUGCGAGCGUGACGGCGCGAGCAGGUGCGAAAGCAGGUCAUAGUGAUCCGGUGGUUCUGAAUGGAAGGGCCAUCGCUCAACGGAUAAAAGGUACUCCGGGGAUAACAGGCUGAUACCGCCCAAGAGUUCAUAUCGACGGCGGUGUUUGGCACCUCGAUGUCGGCUCAUCACAUCCUGGGGCUGAAGUAGGUCCCAAGGGUAUGGCUGUUCGCCAUUUAAAGUGGUACGCGAGCUGGGUUUAGAACGUCGUGAGACAGUUCGGUCCCUAUCUGCCGUGGGCGCUGGAGAACUGAGGGGGGCUGCUCCUAGUACGAGAGGACCGGAGUGGACGCAUCACUGGUGUUCGGGUUGUCAUGCCAAUGGCACUGCCCGGUAGCUAAAUGCGGAAGAGAUAAGUGCUGAAAGCAUCUAAGCACGAAACUUGCCCCGAGAU